AGAGUUUGAUCCUGGCUCAGGACGAACGCUGGCGGCGUGCCUAAUACAUGCAAGUCGAACGCAUUUUCUUUCAUCGUAGCUUGCUACACCGAAAGAAAAUGAGUGGCGAACGGGUGAGUAACACGUGGGUAACCUGCCCAUCAGCGGGGGAUAACACUUGGAAACAGGUGCUAAUACCGCAUAAUUCCAUUUACCGCAUGGUAGAUGGGUGAAAGGCGCUUUUGCGUCACUGAUGGAUGGACCCGCGGUGCAUUAGCUAGUUGGUGGGGUAACGGCCUACCAAGGCUGCGAUGCAUAGCCGACCUGAGAGGGUGAUCGGCCACACUGGGACUGAGACACGGCCCAGACUCCUACGGGAGGCAGCAGUAGGGAAUCUUCGGCAAUGGACGCAAGUCUGACCGAGCAACGCCGCGUGAGUGAAGAAGGUUUUCGGAUCGUAAAACUCUGUUGUUAGAGAAGAACAAGGAUGAGAGUGGAAAGUUCAUCCCUUGACGGUAUCUAACCAGAA
RNAcentral lists this ribosomal RNA (508 nucleotides) under uncultured bacterium. Its description in RNAcentral is "bacterial SSU rRNA". It matches the Rfam family "Bacterial small subunit ribosomal RNA", at positions 8 to 488 of the family's 1533-position model. The record is from RNAcentral.